AUUGAACGCUGGCGGCAUGCCUUACACAUGCAAGUCGAACGGCAGCACGGGGCAACCUGGUGGCGAGUGGCGAACGGGUGAGUAAUGCAUCGGAACGUACCUUUCAGUGGGGGAUCACGUAGCGAAAGUUACGCUAAUACCGCAUAUUCUGUGAGCAGGAAAGCAGGGGAUAGCAAGGCCUUGCGCUGAUUGAGCGGCCGAUGUCAGAUUAGCUAGUUGGUGAGGUAAAGGCUCACCAAGGCGACGAUCUGUAGUGGGUCUGAGAGGAUGAUCCGCCACACUGGAACUGAGACACGGUCCAGACUCCGACGGGAGGCAGCAGUGGGGAAUUUUGGACAAUGGGGGCAACCCUGAUCCAGCCAUGCCGCGUGAGUGAAGAAGGCCUUCGGGUUGUAAAGCUCUUUCGGCCGGGAAGAAAUCGCACGGGCUAAUACCCUGUGUGGAUGACGGUACCGGAAUAAGAAGCACCGGCUAACUACGUGCCAGCAGCCGCCGUAA
Molecule: ribosomal RNA, 498 nt
Filed under: uncultured bacterium
Lineage: Bacteria
Description: partial 16S ribosomal RNA
Rfam family: Bacterial small subunit ribosomal RNA
Source: RNAcentral